ACGAACGCUGGCGGCAUGCCUAACCCAUGCAAGUCGAACGAGACCUUCGGGUCUAGGGGCGCACGGGUGCGUAACGCGGGGGAACCUGCCCUUAGGUUCGGAAUAACCCCCCGAAAGGGGUGCUAAUACCGGAUAAUGUCCUCGGACCAAAGAUUUAUCGCCUUUGGAUGGGCCCGCGUUGGAUUAGCUAGUUGGUAGGGUAAAAGCCUACCAAGGCGACGAUCCAUAGCUGGUCUGAGAGGAUGAUCAGCCACACUGGGACUGAGACACGGCCCAGACUCCUACGGGAGGCAGCAGUGGGGAAUAUUGGACAAUGGGCGAAAGCCUGAUCCAGCAAUGCCGCGUGAGUGAUGAAGGCCUUAGGGUUGUAAAGCUCUUUUACCCGGGAUGAUAAUGACAGUACCGGGAGAAUAAGCUCCGGCUAACUCCGUG
This 432-nucleotide ribosomal RNA is filed under the name uncultured bacterium. RNAcentral's name for it is "partial 16S ribosomal RNA". It matches the Rfam family "Bacterial small subunit ribosomal RNA", at positions 29 to 507 of the family's 1533-position model. The record is from RNAcentral.